AGGGUUUGAUCAUGGCUCAGAACGUACGCUGGCGGCACGCCUAAUACAUGCAAGUCGAACGGGGUAGCAAUACCUAGUGGCAGACGGGUGAGUAACAUGUGGGUAUCUUCCCUUUGGUGAGGAAUAACACGAGGAAACUUGUGCCAAUACCUCAUAAGUCUUUACGGAGAAAGCUUUAUGCGCCAAUGGAUGAGCCCGCACUUGAUUAGUUAGUUGGUAGGGUAAAAGCCUACCAAGACUUUGAUCAAUAGCUGAUUUGAGAGGAUGAUCAGCCACAUUGGGACUGAGACACGGCCCAAACUCCUACGGGAGGCAGCAGUAGGGAAUCUUGCACAAUGGAGGAAACUCUGAUGCAGCGAUGCCGCGUGAGUGAAGAAGGCCUUUGGGUUGUAAAGCUCUUUCGUCGGGGAAGAAAAUGACUGUACCCGAAUAAGAAGGUCCGGCUAACUUCGUGCCAGCCGCCGCGGUAAUAC
Molecule: ribosomal RNA, 473 nt
Filed under: uncultured bacterium
Lineage: Bacteria
Description: bacterial SSU rRNA
Rfam family: Bacterial small subunit ribosomal RNA
Source: RNAcentral